Molecule: unclassified non-coding RNA, 248 nt
Filed under: plant metagenome
Description: partial contains small subunit ribosomal RNA, internal transcribed spacer 1, and 5.8S ribosomal RNA
Source: RNAcentral
UUUCCGUAGGUGAACCUGCGGAAGGAUCAUUAUUGGAUUUUGGAACUUCAGGCUGCUGCUGGCUCUCCUCGGAGGGCAUGUGCACGCUUGUUGUCCAUUAUUUCUCCCACUGUGCACAAAUUGUAGACCUUUCAGUAGGCCUAUGUUGUUUUUCACAAUCUCUGAAUGUAAUAGAAUGGUUUUGAAUCUUGGGAAAUACAAUACAACUUUCAGCAACGGAUCUCUUGGCUCUCGCAUCUAUUAAUAAC